GGGAGUAGCUUGCUACUCUGCCGGCGAGCGGCGGACGGGUGAGUAAAGUCUGGGGAUCUGGCUUAUGGAGGGGGAUAACCAUUGGAAACGGUGGCUAAUACCGCAUGAUGUCGCAAGACCAAAGUGGGGGACUUUAGGGCCUCACGCCAUAAGAUGAACCCAGAUGAGAUUAGCUAGUAGGUGCGGUAAUGGCGUACCUAGGCGACGAUCUCUAGCUGGUCUGAGAGGAUGACCAGCCACACUGGAACUGAGAGACGGUCCAGACUCCUACGGGAGGCAGCAGUGGGGAAUAUUGCACAAUGGGCGGAAGCCUGAUGCAGCCAUGCCGCGUGUGUGAAGAAGGCCUUAGGGUUGUAAAGCACUUUCAGCGGGGAGGAAGGCGGUAAGAGUAAUAUGCUUAUCGAUUGACGUUACCCGCAAAAGAAGCACCGGCUAACUCCGUGCCAGCAGCCGCGGUAAUACGGAGGGUGCGAGCGUUAAUCGGAAUAACUGGGCGUAAAGGGCAUGUAGGCGGUAAGUUAAGUCAGAUGUGAAAUCCCCGAGCUUAACUUGGGAACGGCAUUUGAGACUGGCUGGCUAGAGUUUUGUAGAGGGGGGUAGAAUUCCAGGUGUAGCGGUGAAAUGCGUAGAGAUCUGGAGGAAUACCGGUNGCGAAGGCGGCCCCCUGGACAAGGACUGACGCUGANGUGCGAAAGCGUGGGUAGCAAACAGGAUUAGAUACCCUGGUAGUCCACGCUGUAAACGAUGUCGAUUUGGAGGUUGUGGCCUAGUGUUAUGGCGUCCGAAGCUAACGCGAUAAAUCGACCGCCUGGGGAGUACGGCCGCAAGGUUAAAACUCANUGAAUUGACGGGGCCCGCACAAGCGGUGGAGCAUGUGGUUUAUUC
Molecule: ribosomal RNA, 885 nt
Filed under: Candidatus Regiella insecticola
Lineage: Bacteria; Pseudomonadati; Pseudomonadota; Gammaproteobacteria; Enterobacterales; Enterobacteriaceae
Description: bacterial SSU rRNA
Rfam family: Bacterial small subunit ribosomal RNA
Source: RNAcentral